GAGAUUUAAGGGGGUGGGAGGGGGCUUCAAGGCAGCAGCAGGGGGCCAGGGCUUCAAGGGGGCAGCCAUUUUUUAAAAUAGGAACAGCCAUCGGAGGAGCAAUUUCUUCAAUAAUUACGGCGGCAGUGUGUGGAAAGCGCGGGAGGGUUCCUCUGGUUCCCUAUCAAUGAGGAUCAAAACUUCAAAGCAGUUCCUGAUGUUCUCCUUGAAACUGGUCAUCGCGAGAGGAACUGUCACUGGAUGCCGCCAUCUCGUUUGGCAGUGACUUGCAAGCGGGCCUUCUCUGUAGUCGCCCCUGGGCUCUGGAAUGCGCUCCCUAUGUUCAUGAGUCAACAUCUUUACCCGCCUUUAAAAGAGCCAUCAAGAAAAGAGAGGCAUGGAUUGUGUAGACAGGAGGGAGCUGUUGGAUUUUGCUUGCCGGAGAUUGUCAGCUGGGUGAACAAUAUUCUAGUAAAAUACCCCUGUUUUUUCUUUCAACAUGCCUAGCAGUAGGAGCACACAUAUUUUAAAGCAACAACAAGUAAAGGUGACCUUAAGCUUGUUAGCCACCUAAAAAUGGAUAAAGGAACCUUACCCUGUGAAUUGUUCCUGCUGUUUUAGCUUCUAUGCAUCUACAGAGUACUGAAGCAACCAUUACCAAUAACUUACCUUUACAGUUACUUGUACUUACAAUUUUCUAUCUUUUGGCAUCCCACACAAGCUCUGAAAAAUAAGGAGUGCUCGUCCAAAGCAAACAUUUACAAUAAAUCCCAGACAUUUCAGUUAUCAUUGCUGGAUGGCGAGAGCCCAAUGAUAAGCAUUUCCUUUUCCCAACUGUGAAAGUACUAAUUUAUGACGGCAUCAGCUUGGCAUUAAAGAAAGGAGAUGGAGGUAUGGAAGG
Molecule: long non-coding RNA, 880 nt
Organism: Hemicordylus capensis (graceful crag lizard)
Lineage: Eukaryota; Metazoa; Chordata; Lepidosauria; Squamata; Cordylidae
Exons: 4
Source: RefSeq, a predicted model, not a curated record